Molecule: ribosomal RNA, 247 nt
Filed under: uncultured Lactobacillus sp.
Lineage: Bacteria; Bacillati; Bacillota; Bacilli; Lactobacillales; Lactobacillaceae
Description: partial 16S ribosomal RNA
Rfam family: Bacterial small subunit ribosomal RNA
Source: RNAcentral
CGUGGGUAACCUGCCCAAGAGAUCGGGAUAACACCUGGAAACAGAUGCUAAUACCGGAUAACAACAGAUGAUGCCUAUCAACUGUUUAAAAGAUGGUUCUGCUAUCACUCUUGGAUGGACCUGCGGUGCAUUAGCUAGUUGGUAGGGUAACGGCUUACCAAGGCGAUGAUGCAUAGCCGAGUUGAGAGACUGAUCGGCCACAUUGGGACUGAGACACGGCCCAAACUCCUACGGGAGGCAGCCAGCC